Molecule: long non-coding RNA, 666 nt
Organism: Benincasa hispida (wax gourd)
Lineage: Eukaryota; Viridiplantae; Streptophyta; Magnoliopsida; Cucurbitales; Cucurbitaceae
Source: RefSeq, a predicted model, not a curated record
AGACUCCUCUGGUAAACUAUGUUGGCCCUAAACCAAUUAUUCUGCCUCCUAGUUGUGGAUUGUCCCGACCUUCAUUCACUCCGAACAUAAGCAAAGAUAUGAUCUCGUAUAUUUUAUUUCUACUUCAAUCGUAUUGACAUACCCUAUGGUCUAACUAGACUUCUCUUUCUUUUAUGUAGGGCCCAAACUAAUCGAACAUACCUUUCGUAAGUAGUUUGAGGUAGAUGGGAAAACACAAAUUCUAUGUCGCUUUCAUUGGUCGUAACCCAGGUAUCUACCUAUCCUGGCACGAAUGUCAUAGACAAGUCAAUGAGUACAAAGGGCAUUAUACAAGUCGUAUGACACAUUUGAUGAAGCGGAGCACGCGUAUAGGUCUUACAGUACAACACACGUUGGACAAGUUAAUAAUCAGAGCGUAGGGCAAUAUAGUACAACUAUUGCAACUGUAAUAGACUUCAUUUUUGGGAUGAUCGUAAUGUAUACUUGGCUCGGGAUAGUAGGAUAUGAGUGAUGUAUUCAGUUGUCAUGACUUGUCAUUUUGUAAUUAAAUCCAAGUUUACUAAUUCUAAGCAUAAUUCAUCCUUUCAAGAUCUACAUACUUCCCUUAUUACCUUAGUAAGAUGGAGACUGUUCAGGAGCUGUUCAACCCGAAAACGUAUAUUUUGU